CCUACGGGUGGCAGCAGUGAGGAAUAUUGGUCAAUGGGCGCGAGCCUGAACCAGCCAAGUAGCGUGAAGGAUGACUGCCCUACGGGUUGUAAACUUCUUUUAUAAAGGAAUAAAGUGAGGCACGUGUGCCUUUUUGUAUGUACUUUAUGAAUAAGGAUCGGCUAACUCCGUGCCAGCAGCCGCGGUAAUACGGAGGCGCCGAGCGUUAUCCGGAUUUAUUGGGUUUAAAGGGAGCGUAGAGGGGUUGUUAAGUCAGUUGUGAAAGUUUGCGGCUCAACCGUAAAAUUGCAAAUGAUACUGGCAGACUUGAGUACAGGUGAGGGAGGCGGAAUUCGUGGUGUAGCAGUGAAAUGCGUAGAUAUCACGAAGAACACCGAUUGCGAAGGCAGCUUACUAAACUUCCACUGACAUUGAUGCACGAAAGUGUGGGUAUCAAACAGGAUUAGAUACCCCAGUAGUC
Molecule: ribosomal RNA, 460 nt
Filed under: uncultured bacterium
Lineage: Bacteria
Description: partial 16S ribosomal RNA
Rfam family: Bacterial small subunit ribosomal RNA
Source: RNAcentral